Molecule: ribosomal RNA, 464 nt
Filed under: Vreelandella stevensii
Lineage: Bacteria; Pseudomonadati; Pseudomonadota; Gammaproteobacteria; Oceanospirillales; Halomonadaceae
Description: partial 16S ribosomal RNA
Rfam family: Bacterial small subunit ribosomal RNA
Source: RNAcentral
CCUACGGGGGGCAGCAGUGGGGAAUAUUGGACAAUGGGGGCAACCCUGAUCCAGCCAUGCCGCGUGUGUGAAGAAGGCCCUCGGGUUGUAAAGCACUUUCAGUGAGGAAGAACGCCUGGUGGUUAAUACCCAUCAGGAAAGACAUCACUCACAGAAGAAGCACCGGCUAACUCCGUGCCAGCAGCCGCGGUAAUACGGAGGGUGCGAGCGUUAAUCGGAAUUACUGGGCGUAAGCGCGCGUAGGUGGCUUGAUAAGCCGGUUGUGAAAGCCCCGGGCUCAACCUGGGAACGGCAUCCGGAACUGUCAAGCUAGAGUGCAGGAGAGGAAGGUAGAAUUCCCGGUGUAGCGGUGAAAUGCGUAGAGAUCGGGAGGAAUACCAGUGGCGAAGGCGGCCUUCUGGACUGACACUGACACUGAGGUGCGAAAGCGUGGGUAGCAAACAGGAUUAGAUACCCUGGUAGUC